GUAGCAGUAUCACAAAUAGAGAAAUUAUAAGAUGUUAUCAUAUAAAUACCUUGUAAAGCAAUCACUUACCUCUUUCUUUUAUUCUUAGGCCUGUUUGGAUCAAGGGUGGCUAUAUAAGUAGGACAAUUCCUUUUCAAUGAUCUAGCUUUUUACAGAAGAAGCACUCUACCUGGCUCUUAUCAACUUUUGACGGUUUGCUCUGUUUG
Molecule: long non-coding RNA, 206 nt
Filed under: Elaeis guineensis (African oil palm)
Lineage: Eukaryota; Viridiplantae; Streptophyta; Magnoliopsida; Arecales; Arecaceae
Description: long non-coding RNA (EGUI_LNC033474)
Source: RNAcentral